Molecule: long non-coding RNA, 435 nt
Organism: Pan paniscus (pygmy chimpanzee)
Lineage: Eukaryota; Metazoa; Chordata; Mammalia; Primates; Hominidae
Source: Ensembl
ACAAAAACACUCAUAGAAAUUUGAGUUACAUAAAAUCAAUUAUCUUUUCUGUUUUUUCAGCCUAUGAAAAUAUGUCAUAUAUUUCAUGAGAAACACUAGCUAGUGUAAUCACAACUAUACUCCAGAGAAAUAACCAUUAUGAAGAUUGAAGUUGAUAGAUUAGGCAGGGAAGACUUCGAAUUGCCCAAAAGGUUCCUGCUUGAUUUGUGAAACAGCCCAGGAAUAAGGGACAUUCUCCUGGAUCAUUGUGCUUCGUGAGAGGAUGAGGGCUCAGGAAACCAUUGCACUGCUGUAUCCACUCACAUCAAUGUGAUUGAUUUUCUAGUGACACAGAAGAAUAUGUACUUUACAACUCCAUCCCUCACCUUGGAACUCAAAAUUUACAUGUUGAACAAGCUAAACAAAAAAGAAUAAUGCCUAGACUGAGAAAAGUUG